This 391-nucleotide ribosomal RNA is filed under the name uncultured Chlorobiota bacterium. RNAcentral's name for it is "bacterial SSU rRNA". It matches the Rfam family "Bacterial small subunit ribosomal RNA", at positions 597 to 992 of the family's 1533-position model. The record is from RNAcentral. Lineage: Bacteria; Pseudomonadati; Chlorobiota.
AAAUUUCGGGACUUAACUCCGAGUCUGCCUCUGAGACUACAAUUCUUGAGUGCGAAAGAGGAAAGCGGAAUUCCCGGUGUAGCGGUGAAAUGCGUAGAUAUCGGGAAGAACACCAGUAGCGAAGGCGGCUUUCUGGUUCGCAACUGACGCUGAGGCGCGAAAGCGUGGGUAGCAAACAGGAUUAGAUACCCUGGUAGUCCACGCUGUAAACGAUGGGCACUAGGUGUUGGUCUUUUGAUCAGUGCCGCAGCUAACGCAUUAAGUGCCCCGCCUGGGAAGUACGACCGCAAGGUUGAAACUCAAAGGAAUUGACGGGGGCCCGCACAAGCGGUGGAGCAUGUGGUUUAAUUCGAUGCAACGCGAAGAACCUUACCUGGGCUUGACAUACUGG